ACAGAGUAAGGGCGACUGAAAUGUCAAAAGCUCAGCAUGUGAAUCAGCGUUUAUUUUCAUAAAUGCUGAAUUGUGGUCUUACGAUUCUUGCAACACCUAGUCCAGUCCAUGUUUUUUGGAAUAAAAUAGCAAAGAGGGUGAAACUCCUGUUUGUCUGGACUUGCGAAGCAAAAAUCACUGAGUCGAGUUGUUUGGGAUUGCAGCUCAAAUGCGGUGGUAAAUUCCAUCUCAAGCUAAAUACUGGCAGGAAACCGAUAUCGAAAAAGUACCGUGAGGGAAAGAUGAAAAGAACUUUGAAAAGAGAGUGAAAGAGUACCUGAAAUUGCUGAAAAGGAAGCGAACGAAGCUAGUGAUCGCUGCGUCAUACUUUCCACAUUGCUUGCAAUUUGGACGCUGUGGCCGGCCGAGUCCGACUUGAUUGUAAGUUGUGGAAACAGGCAAAGAAAAGAUUUCAUCUUCU
RNAcentral lists this ribosomal RNA (460 nucleotides) under Pinnularia borealis. Its description in RNAcentral is "eukaryotic LSU rRNA". It matches the Rfam family "Eukaryotic large subunit ribosomal RNA", at positions 78 to 556 of the family's 3401-position model. The record is from RNAcentral. Lineage: Eukaryota; Bacillariophyta; Bacillariophyceae; Sellaphorales; Pinnulariaceae.